Molecule: ribosomal RNA, 482 nt
Filed under: uncultured phototrophic eukaryote
Lineage: Eukaryota
Description: bacterial SSU rRNA
Rfam family: Bacterial small subunit ribosomal RNA
Source: RNAcentral
GGUAACGCUGGCGGCAUGCCCACAGCACUCCAAGUUGAACGGGUUUAAGUUUAUUAAACUUAACAAGUAGCGGACGGGUGAGUAACGCGUAAGAACCUACCUUUAGGUAAGGAAUAACUAUUGGAAACGAUAGAUAAUACCUUAUAAGCUUAUAGUAAAAGAUAAAAUCGCCUAAGGAUGGGCUUGCGUCUGAUUAGCUUGUUGGUGAUUUAAAAGAUUCACCAAGGCAACGAUCAGUAGUUGGUCUAAGAGGAUGAUCAACCACACUGGGACUGAGACACGGCCCAGACCUCUACGGAGGGCAGCAGUGAGGAAUUUUCCGCAAUGGGCGAAAGCCUGACGGAGCAAUGCCGCGUGGAGGAUGAAAGCUUGUGAGUCGUAAACUCCUUUUCUUAGUGAAGAAAUAAGACGGUAUCUAAGGAAUAAGCAUCGGCUAACUCCGUGACCAGCAGCCGCGGUAAUACGGAGGAUGCAAGCGUUAU